AGUGAACGCUGGCGGUAGGCCUAACACAUGCAAGUCGAACGGCAGCACAGAGGAGCUUGCUCCUUGGGUGGCGAGUGGCGGACGGGUGAGGAAUACAUCGGAAUCUACUCUGUCGUGGGGGAUAACGUAGGGAAACUUACGCUAAUACCGCAUACGACCUACGGGUGAAAGCAGGGGAUCUUCGGACCUUGCGCGAUUGAAUGAGCCGAUGUCGGAUUAGCUAGUUGGCGGGGUAAAGGCCCACCAAGGCGACGAUCCGUAGCUGGUCUGAGAGGAAGAUCAGCCACACUGGAACUGAGACACGGUCCAGACUCCUACGGGAGGCAGCAGUGGGGAAUAUUGGACAAUGGGCGCAAGCCUGAUCCAGCCAUACCGCGUGGGUGAAGAAGGCCUUCGGGUUGUAACGCCCUUUUGUUGGGAAAGAAAAGCCCCGGGUUAAUACCCGGGGGUCAUGACGGUACCGUAAGAAUAAGCACCGGCUAACUACGUGCCAGCCGCCGCGGUAA
RNAcentral lists this ribosomal RNA (506 nucleotides) under uncultured bacterium. RNAcentral describes it as "partial 16S ribosomal RNA". It matches the Rfam family "Bacterial small subunit ribosomal RNA", at positions 29 to 523 of the family's 1533-position model. The record is from RNAcentral.